RNAcentral lists this ribosomal RNA (440 nucleotides) under Microchirus variegatus (thickback sole). RNAcentral's name for it is "partial small subunit ribosomal RNA". Lineage: Eukaryota; Metazoa; Chordata; Actinopteri; Pleuronectiformes; Soleidae. The record is from RNAcentral.
CAAAGGCUUGGUCCUAACUUUAUUGUCAGCUCUGGCCAUAUUUACACAUGCAAGUCUCCGCACCCCCGUGAGAAUGCCCGCGUUCCCUUAUGAGAACUCGGAGCCGGUAUCAGGCACACCCCCCCCAGCCCAUAACACCUUGCUCAGCCACACCCCCAAGGGAUUUCAGCAGUGAUAAACAUUAAGCUAUAAGUGAAAACUUGACUUAAUUAAAGCCAAGAGAGCCGGUAAAACUCGUGCCAGCCACCGCGGUGAGACGAGAGGCUCAAGUUGACAAACACGGCACAAAGCGUGGUUAAGAAAACCCCCAGACUAAAGUCAAACGCUUCCUCGGCUGUUAUACGCAUCCGAAAGUAUGAGGCCCAACUACGAAAGUAACUUUAACCUCCUCUGAACCCACGAAAGCUAAGAAACAAACUGGGAUUAGAUACCCCACUAUG